This 1827-nucleotide ribosomal RNA is filed under the name Peltula obscurans var. deserticola. Its description in RNAcentral is "LSU rRNA". It matches the Rfam family "Eukaryotic large subunit ribosomal RNA", at positions 76 to 1462 of the family's 3401-position model. The record is from RNAcentral. Lineage: Eukaryota; Fungi; Ascomycota; Lichinomycetes; Lichinales; Phylliscaceae.
UGCCUCAGUAACGGCGAGUGAAGCGGCAACAGCUCAGAUUUGGAAUCUGGCCCCCGCUCGGGGGUCCGAGUUGUAGUCUGUAGAGGAUGCUUCGGGGGUGGACCGGGCCCAAGUUCCUUGGAACAGGGCGUCGGAGAGGGUGAGAGUCCAGUCUGUGGCCUGGUCCUUCCCCCCGGGUGAAGCUCCCUCGACGAGUCGAGUUGUUUGGGAAUGCAGCUCCAACCGGGUGGUAAAUCUCAUCUAAAGCUAAAUACCGGCCAGAGACCGAUAGCGCACAAGUAGAGUGAUCGAAAGAUGAAAAGCACUUUGGAAAGAGGGUUAAACAGCACGUGAAAUUGUUGAAAGGGAAGCGCUUGCGAUCAGACUUGCCCGUGGCCCUUCAGCCGGUGGAUUCUCGCCGGCGCAAUGGGCCGUGGGCAGGCCAGCAUCGGCUCGGGCGGCGGGAGGAAGACCCUGGGAAUGUGGCUCCCUUCGGGGUGCGUUAUAGCCCGAGGUGUCACGCCGCCGCCCGGACCGAGGCCCGCGCUCCGGCAAGGAUGCUGGCGUAAUGGUCGUCAGCGACCCGUCUUGAAACACGGACCAAGGAGUCUAACAUCCACGCGAGUGUUUGGGUGUCAAACCCGGCGCGCAAUGAAAGUGAACGGAGGUGGGAGCCCGUAGGGGUGCACCAUCCACCGAUCCUGAAGUCUUCUGAUGGAUUUGAGUACCAGCGUGGCUGUUGGGACCCGAAAGAUGGUGAACUAUGCCUGAAUAGGGUGAAACCAGAGGAAACUCUGGUGGAGGCUCGCACCGGUUCUGACGUGCAAAUCGAUCGUCAAAUUUGGGUAUAGGGGCGAAAGACUAAUCGAACCAUCGCCGCUAGGUGGUCCAGAGGCGGGCACGUGCCCCGUCUAGUCCCCCGCUCACGGGGCGACACUGUCAAAUUGCGGGGACACCCUUAGAGCUCGGCCGACGCCGGGCCGGCCGCGAGGUUGGCCCGUGCGCGGCCCCCCACUGGGGGCCGCGGCACCCGGACGCGGGGUCGAGAUUGGGCGAUCCGCAGCCAACCCCCACCGGCGAUUGGCGCCACGGGGAGAGGUUCACAGACUAGAUGGCAGUGGGUUUGGCCCUCCUCACCCCUUCUUUAAGGGGGGGGGGGGGGUGCCGGCCUAAGGUAUAGUCGGACCGCCGGGAGACCGGCCGAGGAGGCGUGAGGUGCGCGGUGUUGAGCGUCCCCGCGGCGCGUGCGCGCGCGGGGACCGCCGCGGGUCUCGCGCUUCCUCGGGGGGUGUGCCGCUCGUGGAGGGCGCGACGCCCCUGGAGUCGUCGCUAGUAGCUGGUUCCUGCCGAAGUUUCCCUCAGGAUAGCAGUAACGCGUGGCAGUUUUAUGAGGUAAAGCGAAUGAUUAGAGGCCUUGGGGUUGAAACAACCUUAACCUAUUCUCAAACUUUGAAUAUGUAAGAAGUCCUUGUUGCUUGGUUGAACGUGGACAUUCGAAUGUACCGUUACUAGUGGGCCAUUUUUGGUAAGCAGAACUGGCGAUGCGGGAUGAACCGAACGCGGGGUUAAGGUGCCGGAAUGCACGCUCAUCAGACACCACAAAAGGUGUUGGUUCAUCUAGACAGCAGGACGGUGGCCAUGGAAGUCGGAACCCGCUAAGGAGUGUGUAACAACUCACCUGCCGAAUGAACUAGCCCUGAAAAUGGAUGGCGCUCAAGCGUGCUACCCAUACCCCGCCGCCAGGGUAGGAACGAUGCCCUGGCGAGUAGGCAGGCGUGGGGGUCCGUGACGAAGCCUCGGGAGCGAUCCCGGGUCGAACGGCCCCUAGUGCAGAUCUUGGUGGUAGUA